RNAcentral lists this ribosomal RNA (260 nucleotides) under uncultured bacterium. RNAcentral describes it as "partial 16S ribosomal RNA". It matches the Rfam family "Bacterial small subunit ribosomal RNA", at positions 524 to 776 of the family's 1533-position model. The record is from RNAcentral.
UACGGGGGGGAGCAAGCGUUGUUCGGAUUUACUGGGCGUAAAGGGCGCGUAGGCGGUCGUGACAAGUCACUUGUGAAAUCUCCGGGCUUAACUCGGAACGGUCAAGUGAUACUGUCGGACUAGAGUACAGAAGGGGCGAACAUUGGGAAAUUCUCGGUGUAGCGGUGAAAUGCGUAGAUAUCGAGAGGAACACCUGCGGCGAAGGCGGGUUGCUGGGCUGAUACUGACGCUGAGGCGCGAAAGCCAGGGGAGCGAACGGG